Molecule: long non-coding RNA, 321 nt
Filed under: Trifolium pratense (red clover)
Lineage: Eukaryota; Viridiplantae; Streptophyta; Magnoliopsida; Fabales; Fabaceae
Description: long non-coding RNA (TPRA_LNC009937)
Source: RNAcentral
AAAACCAAAAGCAUUUCUAGGGCCACCACCAGCACCACUGGCAUCACCGGCUUCACCGGUUGUUCUAGUGCUACUAUCGUCUCCUCCAGACAUAGUGUUCUCACAAGAUCUUUACUGUCUCACUGUUAAGUGAAAGUAACAGACCAGAGCUCUAGAUACCAAUUGAAGGUGUGAAAACACAAGAAGGGGGGGUUGAAUUGUGUUUUAGUCAAGUUUAAAACUAUUUCAAGUUCUUAACUUAACUACAACAGCAGCGGAUAAAUAACACAAUAAAACAAGUUAAGAGAGAGAGAGAGAUCACACAAGCAAUUUAUACUGGUU